AACAAACAGGCCAAGUUAAGAUUUAUCACAGUAAAAAAGGAGGUUAGAAAUUAUAAUAAGGAAAUUUACAUUUUUUUAAAAAGUAAAAUUUGUACAAAAAAAUUUAAUCUAUUAUUUCCUUUUUUUUGACGCCUCGAAAUUUUGAUCAAAAACUGGGAUUAGAUACCCCACUAUUCAAAACAUAAACCCCAAUACUUUAAUUUACUUGAGUAUUACGAGCAAGACAAUAAUUUUUAUUCAUUAUCUGGUUAGCUUAAAACUCAAAAAACUUGGCGGUGCCUCAAAUCCUUCUAGGGGAACCUGUCCUAUAAUUGAUGAUCCACACUUUACCUUUCCUUAUUUAGAAUAUUGCCUAGGCAAUUAACCAGCCUGUAUACCGUCGUCGUCAGAUUACCUAUAAAAGACCAAAAGUAAUCACAAUAAAUAAAUAGUGCCAUUAUUCCAAUGACCUCCCCAUUUAUAACGUCAGAUCAAGGUGCAGCCUAUGAUAAGGUAGCGAUGGGUUACAAUAGCAACUUACUACACGAAUCUUCUGCUGAAAUGCAGAUGUUGAAGGCGGACUUAGAAGUAAUCUACUGAACAGAGAGCCUACUUGAAUAUGGUACUGAGGCGUGU
RNAcentral lists this ribosomal RNA (615 nucleotides) under Dillwynella vitrea. RNAcentral describes it as "partial 12S ribosomal RNA". The record is from RNAcentral. Lineage: Eukaryota; Metazoa; Mollusca; Gastropoda; Trochida; Skeneidae.